GAUGAACGCUAGCUACAGGCUUAACACAUGCAAGUCGAGGGGAAACGACAUCGAAAGCUUGCUUUUGAUGGGCGUCGACCGGCGCACGGGUGAGUAACGCGUAUCCAACCUGCCCACCACUUGGAGAUAACCUUGCGAAAGUAAGACUAAUACCCAAUGACGUCUCUAGAAGACAUCUGAAAGAGAUUAAAGAUUUAUCGGUGAUGGAUAGGGAUGCGUCUGAUUAGCUUGUUGGCGGGGUAACGGCCCACCAAGGCGACGAUCAGUAGGGGUUCUGAGAGGAAGGUCCCCCACAUUGGAACUGAGACACGGUCCAAACUCCUACGGGAGGCAGCAGUGAGGAAUAUUGGUCAAUGGGCGAGAGCCUGAACCAGCCAAGUAGCGUGCAGGAUGACGGCCCUAUGGGUUGUAAACUGCUUUUAUAAGGGAAUAAAGUGAGUCUCGUGAGACUUUUUGCAUGUACCUUAUGAAUAAGGACCGGCUAAUUCCGUGCCAGCCGCCGCAGUAA
RNAcentral lists this ribosomal RNA (508 nucleotides) under uncultured bacterium. RNAcentral describes it as "partial 16S ribosomal RNA". It matches the Rfam family "Bacterial small subunit ribosomal RNA", at positions 28 to 523 of the family's 1533-position model. The record is from RNAcentral.